Long non-coding RNA from Electrophorus electricus (electric eel), 424 nucleotides. NCBI's taxonomy places the organism in Eukaryota, Metazoa, Chordata, Actinopteri, Gymnotiformes, Gymnotidae. The record is from Ensembl.
CUGUGUUUCAGUCAGAAGCUCCAACUCAAUAUUGGAGCCAAUAGAAUUUAAACAGGUAUCCAUUUCUCUUACACAAAGCUCAUGUAAACAGCCAAGCCCGUUUUCUGGGGAACCUGUCUGUGAUCCAAGUAUGAGGGCAUCAUCAAAACCUGAAUGUGCAACAUCAAUGACGAAGCACAUUUCUACUGACUUAUGGAAACGAUCUGUUUGCAUCCCUAGUUCAGUACCUUGUGGGGACUCAGAAGCAGUGCUGCAACAUAAACGUAGGCUAAAAGCAAAGUUUCAGUUCAUUUCCAAUGAUGUUUUGAGACAAGAUCAUGCAGCAUCCCUGAACGAUGUUUACACAGAGCUCUACAUCAUAGAGAGUGACCGCAGUAACGUUAACAAUGAGCAUGAAGUGAGACAGAUUGAAAUAAUAUCCAGA